Molecule: transfer RNA, 85 nt
Filed under: Actinomycetota bacterium
Lineage: Bacteria; Bacillati; Actinomycetota
Description: tRNA-Leu
Rfam family: tRNA
About the family: Transfer RNA (tRNA) molecules are approximately 80 nucleotides in length. Their secondary structure includes four short double-helical elements and three loops (D, anti-codon, and T loops).
Source: RNAcentral
GCGGGUGUGGCGGAAUGGCAGACGCGCAUGCCUUAGGAGCAUGUGUCCAAGUGACGUGGAGGUUCAAGUCCUCUCACCCGCACCA